Molecule: long non-coding RNA, 570 nt
Filed under: Sus scrofa (pig)
Lineage: Eukaryota; Metazoa; Chordata; Mammalia; Artiodactyla; Suidae
Description: lncRNA (ENSSSCG00050041356.1)
Source: RNAcentral
UUUCUUGGAAGCAUAUUUAGACUAUCAAAGGCUGGAAACUAAUAUUUAAAUAUCACAACUACACAGCAGUUUCAACAAAAGGCACAAUGCAAUUGUUGUACAAUUCAUGUUCUCAAGUCAGUUUUCUGACACAAAAUGGUUUCUUGACUACGAUUUGGAGUCAAUGACUAAAAACUGCAAUUAAACACUUUAAAAAAGGUAGGAAAAGAAUAGCUUCCUUAACCUUCGACUCCAUGUAUAAAACGAGGUUAUAACCAACAUAAACUCUUUAAAAGGAGACGGCAUUUGAAGUCAGGGUCGAUUUAGUUAUUUUCCAAAACGGAAGGCAAACGUCGCUCCAAGAAUACUAAAAUGGUUUAAAUGAAAUUGAAUAUUGGGAUUUUUCACAAUAAAGUAAAGGAAGAAGUGACCUUGACUAAGAUUUCCCUAAGGGAUACCCUCAAGCCAAUGGGUAGUAAGACCAUAAUGAUCCUUCUAUGACCUCACAGAACAUCCAGUCUACUUCAAGCUGGGUCUCUUCUUUAUCUUCAAGCCCAGUUCAAUGCUGGAACAGCAGACAGACCCCUCAAG